GAUGAACGCUAGCGGCAGGCCUAAUACAUGCAAGUCGAGGGAGAAUGUUGGAUUCGUCUGACAUGAAACCGGCGCACGGGUGCGUAACACGUAUGCAACCUACCUUUAACUGGGGUAUAGCUCAGAGAAAUCUGAAUUAAUCCCCCAUAAGACUACGACAUGGCAUCAUGAUGUAGUUAAAGCUCCAGCGGUUAAGGAUGGGCAUGCGGUACAUUAGCUAGUUGGUGAGGUAAUGGCUCACCAAGGCUACGAUGUAUAGGGGGUCUGAGAGGAUGAUCCCCCACACUGGUACUGAGACACGGACCAGAAUCCUACGGGAGGCAGCAGUAGGGAAUAUUGGUCAAUGGACGCAAGUCUGAACCAGCCAUGCCGCGUGAAGGAUGAAGGCCCUAUGGGUCGUAAACUUCUUUUAUUAGGGAAGAAAAAACGGGAUGCGUCCUGUACUGACGGUACUUAAUGAAUAAGGAUCGGCUAACUUCGUGCCAGCAGCCGCAGUAA
Molecule: ribosomal RNA, 498 nt
Filed under: uncultured bacterium
Lineage: Bacteria
Description: partial 16S ribosomal RNA
Rfam family: Bacterial small subunit ribosomal RNA
Source: RNAcentral